CGGCCACCUGGGCGGGGCGCAGCAGCCGGUCGCCGACCCGGUAGCCCAGCCGGAGCACCUCGGUGCAGGUCGCCUGUUCCAGCCGGUCGGUGGGGGU
Molecule: transfer RNA, 97 nt
Filed under: Streptomyces platensis
Lineage: Bacteria; Bacillati; Actinomycetota; Actinomycetes; Kitasatosporales; Streptomycetaceae
Also listed under: 1 other name
Description: tRNA-Gly
Source: RNAcentral